CGAAACUAUCCGAGUUGGGCGGGAAAGUGAAAGUAGACACAUGCUGUCUCUUUAACGACUACUUAUCUGUACAGAGAAUAAUUUUCUACAUGACUACUACUCUGACAAGGACAUCAAUCAAUCUUCUAUCCAUUACUAAAGUGCUGGUCAAGUCUGCCUGCUUGAGGACAAGCCCUUCUUCUAGCCACCUGCUCUACAAGAGGAGAAAACCAAAUAAUAGACAUAUCCAUUUAUUUACAGCUACUUUAUCUGACAGCCGAUCCCCCAGAAUGAAUAAGGAUGCAAAGCCACAAAUCGUCUUGGUAACUGGAAACCAGAAAAACUAGA
Long non-coding RNA from Pecten maximus, 327 nucleotides. RefSeq lists it as uncharacterized. The transcript is spliced from 3 exons. NCBI's taxonomy places the organism in Eukaryota, Metazoa, Mollusca, Bivalvia, Pectinida, Pectinidae. The record is from RefSeq and is a predicted model, not a curated record.